This 276-nucleotide ribosomal RNA is filed under the name uncultured bacterium. RNAcentral describes it as "partial 16S ribosomal RNA". It matches the Rfam family "Bacterial small subunit ribosomal RNA", at positions 506 to 784 of the family's 1533-position model. The record is from RNAcentral.
UGCCAGCCGCCGCGGUAAUACUGAAGGUGCAAGCGUUAAUCGGAAUCACUGGGCGUAAAGCGCUCGUAGGUGGCUUUGUAAGUCAGAUGUGAAAGCCCACGGCUCAACCGUGGAAUUGCAUUUGAUACUGCAUCGCUAGAGUAUAGAGGGAAGUGGAAUUUCUGGUGUAGGAGUGAAAUCCGUAGAGAUCAGAAGGAACACCGGUGGCGAAGGCGGCCAACUGGACGAGUACUGACGCUGAGGUACGAAAGCGUGGGGAUCAAACAGGAUUAGAUA